RNAcentral lists this ribosomal RNA (407 nucleotides) under uncultured bacterium. RNAcentral's name for it is "partial 16S ribosomal RNA". It matches the Rfam family "Bacterial small subunit ribosomal RNA", at positions 28 to 526 of the family's 1533-position model. The record is from RNAcentral.
GACGAACGCUGGCGGCGUGCCUAAUACAUGCAAGUCGAACGGAGUGGCGAACGGGUGAGUAAUGUAUCGGAACGUGCCCAGUAGCGGGGGGUAACUACGCGAAAGCGUAGCUAAUACCGCAUACUAUUGGCGCGGCCGAGAUCGGAUUAGCUAGUGGGUGGGGUAACGGCUCACCAAUGCGCCGAUCCGUAGCUGGUUUGAGAGGACGACCAGCCACACUGGGACUGAGACACGGCCCAGACGCCUACGGGAGGCAGCAGUGGGGAAUUUUGGACAAUGGGGGAAACCCUGAUCCAGCCAUCCCGCGUGUGCGAUGAAGGCCUUCGGGUUGUAAAGCACUUUUGGCAGGAAAGCGGUACCUGCAGAAUAAGCACCGGCUAACUACGUGCCAGCAGCCGCGGUAAUAC